UACGUAGGGGCCGAGCGUUGUCCGGAGUUAUUGGGCGUAAAGGGCGCGUAGGCGGCUUGAUGUGUCAAAGGUGAAAUCCCUCGGCUCAACUGAGGAACUGCCUUUGAAACUGUCUGGCUUGAGGCCGGGAGAGGGUAGCGGAAUUCCCAGUGUAGCGGUGAAAUGCGUAGAUACUGGGAGGAACACCGGUGGCGAAGGCGGCUACCUGGACCGGUUCUGACGCUGAUGCGCGAAAGCGUGGGUAGCAAACAGG
Molecule: ribosomal RNA, 253 nt
Filed under: uncultured bacterium
Lineage: Bacteria
Description: partial 16S ribosomal RNA
Rfam family: Bacterial small subunit ribosomal RNA
Source: RNAcentral